This 253-nucleotide ribosomal RNA is filed under the name uncultured bacterium. Its description in RNAcentral is "partial 16S ribosomal RNA". It matches the Rfam family "Bacterial small subunit ribosomal RNA", at positions 524 to 776 of the family's 1533-position model. The record is from RNAcentral.
UACGUAGGGUCCGAGCGUUGUCCGGAAUUACUGGGCGUAAAGAGCUCGUAGGUGGUUUGUCGCGUUGUUCGUGAAAACUCACAGCUCAACUGUGGGCGUGCGGGCGAUACGGGCAGACUUGAGUACUGCAGGGGAGACUGGAAUUCCUGGUGUAGCGGUGGAAUGCGCAGAUAUCAGGAGGAACACCGGUGGCGAAGGCAGCUCGCUGGGACGGUACUGACGCUAAGGCGCGAAAGCGUGGGGAGCGAACAGG